Molecule: long non-coding RNA, 3451 nt
Organism: Conger conger (European conger)
Lineage: Eukaryota; Metazoa; Chordata; Actinopteri; Anguilliformes; Congridae
Exons: 3
Source: RefSeq, a predicted model, not a curated record
AUGGGAAAGAGUGGCACUGAAACCAUAGGGAACUCGUGGCGCUACAAGCAGAUUCAUUCGACGCAAAUUCGGAGGAGUUGUCAUUUCCCCCAAAAUGUAGGCUACAAAGAACAUCAUCUGUAGGCCUAUAGCCCAAAAGCAUGAGAGAUCUCUUGGACCUGGGAAAGCACAGCUCCGUUGCAGACACAGCUAUGGAGAGGAUGGGCCUGAAUGAGCUCGCUGGCACCAGCCUUGGUGAAACGUCACAAUCCACACCCAUCCCUCCGGUUUCUAGAUUUGUGCCCAGCACCUCCUCAUGAAACCGUUCAGACUACAGCUGAGGAACCAGAAGAGGAGGAGGUGGAGGUGGAGGGAAGGUUCCAGAAGAGCCACUUGCGCUUGCAUUGGCGUUUCUGGUACAGGUAGUCCUCCUUCUCCCGCUCCUUUCGCGCUCUCUGGUAGUGAUCAUCCUCUUUCAGGUACCACACUGGAGGCCAGCGGUGCUUCUCAAAGUAGUCCUGGUUCUCUGGACGACACACAGCAAGAGAGGAUCAAGACACCGAAAACUACAACAGCAGAAAACAGAAAUGUGUUCUUUUGACCACCCCCUAAAAGUUUCAGUUUGAUACAUCUAAAUCCCAGCACAGAACAAGGAUUUGGGCAACUUUGAGACACUCAGCAAUGUUUAAAACUGACAACUCGUGAUUGGACUACUUGAAUCACCUGCAACGGCAAGCGCCAGGAUCAGACGUUGCGACGGGCAGUUGCUGCUGCAACACCUCUGCAACAUUCUGAAAUGGUUUGGUCACGUCACAAAUCUUUGUUCUGAACUGUGCUAUAUGACCAAACCUUUCCUUUCAGAGAUCUGCACAUUAGAACAGGCCAACAAUUCAACACAUGCUGUUUACCAAAGAGCAAAGAGCCAACUUGAAAGUUUUUUUGUUGGCCAUUGCUGGUGGCCAGUCAAAAUGGCCCAUUAAGAAAAAUUGCAUUAGUCCAACACUGGGCCAAUGAGUCAUGUUUACCAGGGUCUGUAAUGUACUGUUGUGUACCUGGGGACUUGGCCUUCAUGUCUCUGGGGAAUUUGCGACAAACACUGUUGUAGUUGGUGCAGAUGUGAUGAAGGCACCAGUUAGUGAGCUGAUGGGCACAGUGGAACUGCCAAGGGGAGGGAGGGAAGGACAGAGAGAGAAAGAGAGAUCACAUAGCCCACCGUGAGGGAGAAAAUCACAAGAACAUUUCCCCGUUUUGUAGCUACUAGCACAUUCAAAAACCCAUGCUUUACAUUCUCAAAAAAUGAUUUACAGCAGCAUCAGCUAUAUUCACAAACAUCCCAAUUGAACAUAUGCUCUGAGUUGCUUGAAAUAUUGGUCGACUGCAAUGCUGUGCAAUACAAUUGUGUUUGCUAAGGCAUUUUAUGUAAUGACUUAGUCCUUGGUGAGCGCUCAAAGGAAGCAGAAAGUGAAGGAUUACAGUCCAGCCUGCUUCCCUGCAGUUUUAGUGCUCUGACUUGGCUAGUUUUGAGACGAGAGUCAGCAAUGAGAGCUCUGAAAAACCAUCCCAUGCGACCACCUUGGACAACCACCCCACUGGACAAAGGCAUCGGACAGCCUGGCAUAUACCAAAGGCGCUGUAGCCCUCAUACCUGAGCCAUCUCGAGGUACACCAGCACAUCCCCGUCGAUAUCAGCCCCCAUCAUGGCGGCCUCCAUUAGAACUGUGACUGUGUACAGCUCUGAAAUAGAUAGCACAUUCCUCAAUGGCAUUCAGCCCUGUCUCCUGGCAACCACAUUGGAUCCUGGCUCAACUCUAUUUCUACACACAUUUCAUGAAAGCACUAGCAACACAAGGUCCAUGCAGCACCAAGCACCAUGAAAGAUAAAACUGUUAAUUGGGAUGGCAUUGUAUAGCACUUUAUUUGGUAUUUAUUGGACUUAUUUUUGCUUUACUUUUUGAUUGGUCUUCUGCUGCUCUAGCCUAUCCACUUAGAGGUUUGCUCUUCUGCAUACUACUGUUGUAAUGUGUGGUUAUUUGCGUUAUUGUCACCUUCCUUUCAGCUUUGACCAGUCUGGCCCUUCUCCUCUGGCCUCUCUCCUUAACAAUGCGUUUUUGCCCACUGAACUGCUGCUCACUGGAUGUUUUUUGUUUUUCCAACCAUUCUCUGCAAACUCUCAAGACAGCUGCGCAUGAAAAUCCCAGGAGAUCAGCAGUUUCUGAGAUAGUCAAACCACCCUGUCUGGCAUCAUCCACAGUCAAAGUCACUCUGACAUUUGGUCUGAAAAACAGCUCUUGACAAUGUCUGCAUGCUUUUAUGCAUUUAGUUGCUGCCACAUGAUUGGCUGAUUAAAUAUUUGCAUUAACAAGAUGGUGUACAGGUCUAUCUAAUAAAGUGGUCACUGAGUGUAUGGUUCUACCUGUAAGGGCCACCAGGUGAGGCAGGCAUAGGCGGUUGGCCAGGACGAUAAGCUCCAUGGCGUCCAAGUCGGGCCGUGAACAGAAGCGUCCGGUGUACAGGUAAUUAGCUGAACAACUAGUGCCACUGAAGGACUGUCUUCACUCCUGACUCCCAGGUAAUGGGAGGGUGAAAAACCAGCAGUUACCGGACCUCAAGGAUUUUAUGAACCCUGGCGCAGACCAGACGGGCUCCCGACCAGAUCAGAAAAACAUCAUACAUGGAACUACCUCCAGACAGGUCAACAGGAAUCUAAACACAGAAUCCACUCCCAAGACCUUGCACACCUGACAAACUUUUUGACAUGCGAAAGAACAAUCAGAAGACUGUAAACCAGACGGAUCAGGUCAGAACGGUAUCUCACACCUAGGACGUAGCAAUGUUAAGACCUAAUGUUUUUCUUAAGAUUUGCUCGUGUCUGAAAAAACUGUGUUGCAAGUCGUAUAACGCCCGCCCUAAUCAGAGAUAUGUUGACACUGCGAAUGCAGACCAUGUCAAUAGCUAAAGGUCAAGAAUAUGUCUAUGGCAUGCUGCAUUUGGCCCUUGAGCCACUAACAGAGUAGCCCUGGUGUAGACCACUGUAAGAACCCUUCAGACAUGCCUCAGUGUUAGAGCUGGCAUGCUGAUGGCUCUUAUUGUCAGAGAGACACUGAUUUAUAUAACCUGAAAAUGACAGCACAAUAAGUCCUCAGUGGGCGGUUUGCAUUGAGCAUUAAAGCUUUUCAGAAUACCGCGUUCUUUCAUUUCAGCAUCUUCAUUUAUCCUUAGUAAAUGCAAAUAUCAUGUUUAAUGCAUAUACUGCACCCCGGUCCACCCACACAGACCACCAGGCAUCCGAGCAAACCUCAGUGGAAAACUGUAAUCAUUUUCUGAACACUAACAUGUUAACAAAAACAGCUCACACCUGAAUGCUAUAUGCCAGUACUUUCACAUAUUUCCCCCUUCUGUUACACUGUAAAGCAUCUUUGUGACAGUCCUCUGUGAAAAGUGCGAUACACAUAAAAAUAAAAUUGAUUUUGCA